CACUGUCACUCCUACGGGGAGGCAGCAGUGGGGAAUAUUGCACAAUGGGCGCAAAGCCUGAUGCAGCCAUGCCGCGUGUAUGAAGAAGGCUUCGGGUUGUAAAGUACUUUCAGUCGUGAGGAAGGCGGCGUCGUUAAUAGCGGCGUUGUUUGACGUUAGCGACAGAAGAAAGCACCGGCUAACUCCGUGCCAGCAGCCGCGGUAAUACGGAGGGUGCGAGCGUUAAUCGGAAUUACUGGGCGUAAAGCGCAUGCAGGUGGUUUGUUAAGUCAGAUGUGAAAGACCCGGGGCUCAACCUCGGAAUUGCAUUUGUAAACUAGGCAGACUAGAGUACUGUAGAGGGGGGUAGGAAUUUCAGGUGUAGCGGUGAAAUGCGUAGAGAUCUGAAGGAAUACCGGUGGCGAAGGCGGCCCCCUCGGACAGAUACUGACACUCAGAUGCGAAAGCGUGGGGAGCAAACAGGAUUAGAUACCCUGGUAG
RNAcentral lists this ribosomal RNA (480 nucleotides) under uncultured bacterium. RNAcentral's name for it is "bacterial SSU rRNA". It matches the Rfam family "Bacterial small subunit ribosomal RNA", at positions 325 to 793 of the family's 1533-position model. The record is from RNAcentral.